UUUUUUUUAAUUUAUUUUUUAUUGUUCAAUUUACCAACAUACAGAAUAACCCCCAGUGCCCCUCACCCAUUCACUCCCACCCCCCGCCCUCCUCCCCUUCUACCACCCCUAGUACGUUUCCCAGAGUUAGCAGUCUUUACGUUCUGUCUCCCUUUCUGAUAUUUCCCACACAUUUCUUCUCCCUUCCCUUAUAUUCCCUUUCACUAUUAUUUAUAUUCCCCAAAUGAAUGAGAACAUACACUGUUUGUCCUUCUCCGACUGACUUACUUCACUCAGCAUAAUACCCUCCAGUUCCAUCCACGUUGAAGCAAAUGGUGGGUAUUUGUCAUUUCUAAUGGCUGAGGAAUAUUCCAUUGUAUACAUAAACCACAUCUUCUUUAUCCAUUCAUCUUUCGUUGGACACCGAGGCUCCUUCCACAGUUUGGCUAAUGUGGCCAUUGCUGCUAUAAACAUCGGGGUGCAGGUGUCCCGGCGUUUCAUUGCAUCUGUAUCUUUGGGGUAAAUCCCCAACAGUGCAAUUGCUGGGUUGUAGGGCAGGUAUAUUUUUAACUGUUUGAGGAACCUCCACACAGUUUUCCAGAGUGGCUGCACCAGUUCACAUUCCCACCAACAGUGUAAGAGGGUUCCCUUUUCUCCGCAUCCUCUCCAACAUUUGUGGUUUCCUGCCUUGCUAAUUUUCCCCAUUCUCACUGCUGUGAGGUGGGAUCUCAUUGUGGUUUUGAUUUGUAUUUUCCUGAUGGCCAGUGAUGCAGAGCAUUUUCUCAUGUGCAUGUUGGCCAUGUCUAUGUCUUCCUCUGUGAGAUUUCUCUUCAUGUCUUUUCCCAUUUCAUGAUUGGAUUGUUUGUUUCUUUGGUGUUGAGUUUAAUAAGUUCUUUAUAGAUCUUGGAAACUAGCCCUUGAUCUGAUACGUCAUUUGCAAAUAUCUUCUCCCAUUCUGUAGGUUGUCUUUUAGCUUUGUUGACUGUAUCCUUUGCUGUGCAAAAGCUUCUUAUCUUGAUGAAGUCCCAAUAGUUCAUUUUUGCUUUUGUUUCUUUUGCCUUCGUGGAUGUAUCUUGCAAGAAGUUACUCUGGCUGAGUUCAAAAAGGGUGUUGCCUGUGUUCUCCUCUAGGAUUUUCAUGGAAUCUUGUCUCACAUUUAGAUCUUUCAUCCAUUUUGAGUUUAUCUUUGUGUAUGGAGAAAGAGAGUGGUCUAGUUUUAUUCUUCUGCAUGUGGAUGUCCAAUUUUCCCAGCACCAUUUAUUGAAGAGACUGUCUUUCUUCCAAUGGAUAGUCUUUCCUCCUUUAUCAAAUAUUAGUUGACCAUAAAGUUCAGGGUCCACGUCUGGGUUCUCUAUUCUGUUCCAUUGAUCUAUGUGUCUGUUUUUGUGCCAGUACCACACUGUCUUGAUGACCACAGCUUUGUAGUACAACCUGAAAUCUGGCAUUGUGAUGCCCCCAGAUAUGGUUUUCUAUUUAAAAUUCCCCUGGCUAUUUGGGGUCUUUUCUGAUUCCACACAAAUCUUAAAAUAAUUUGUUCUAACUCUCUGAAGAAAGUCCAUGGUAUUUUGAUAGGGAUUGCAUUAAACGUGUAAAUUGCCCUGGGUAACAUUGAUAUUUUCACAAUAUUAAUUCUGCCAAUCCAUGAGCAUGGAAUAUUUUUCCAUCUCUUUGUGUCUUCCUCAAUUUCUUUCAGAAGUGUUCUAUAGUUUUGAGGGUAUAGAUCCUUUACCUCUUUGGUUAGGUUUAUUCCUAGGUAUCUUAUGCUUUUGGGUGCAAUUGUAAAUGGGAUUGACUCCUUAAUUUCUCUUUCUUCAGUCUCAUUGUUAGUGUAUACAAAUGCCACUGAUUUCUGGGCAUUGAUUUUGUAUCCUGCCACGCUACCAAAUUGCUGUAUGAGUUCUAGCAAUCUUGGGGUGGAGGCUUUUGGGUUUUCUAUGUAGAGUAUCAUGUCAUCGGUGAAGAGGGAGAGUUUGACUUCUUCUUUGCCAAUUUGAAUGCCUUUAAUAUCUUUUUGUUGUCUGAUUGCUGAGGCUAGGACUUCCAGUACUAUGUUGAAUAGCAGUGGUGAGAGUGGACAUCCCUGUCUUGUUCCUGAUCUUAGGGGAAAGGCUCCCAGUGCUUCCCCAUUGAGAAUGGUAUUUGCUGUGGGCUUUUCAUAGAUGGCUUUUAAGAUGUUGAGGAAUGUUCCCUCUAUCCC
RNAcentral lists this long non-coding RNA (2176 nucleotides) under Canis lupus familiaris (dog). RNAcentral describes it as "lncRNA (ENSCAFG00845010756.1)". The record is from RNAcentral. Lineage: Eukaryota; Metazoa; Chordata; Mammalia; Carnivora; Canidae.